Long non-coding RNA from Brachypodium distachyon (stiff brome), 1294 nucleotides. RefSeq lists it as uncharacterized. The record is from RefSeq and is a predicted model, not a curated record. NCBI's taxonomy places the organism in Eukaryota, Viridiplantae, Streptophyta, Magnoliopsida, Poales, Poaceae. The transcript is spliced from 3 exons.
UCUGUCGAUUGUUGACUCCAUAUAACCCAUCCCAAUCCGGGGAUUCCGGGGGAGACAGAACAAGAGAAGGCCACUCUGCCGGCAGCGAGGCCUGCUCCUCUUCCUCCGGCGAUCGCCUCCGUCACCGCUGCCGCUUCCGAGGAAGAUUCGGCUAUGUAUAUCAGAGUGAAGCGAAACAAGAUCCAACAGAGACAUCUUUAAACAUUAAACAAAAGUUGUAUUCAUUAAUCGACCAGUCUCCCAGUAAUCAACGACUGAUCUUGUUGGCAACAAUGAUGUAUUGGAUGAUUCACAGUCAUUGGCAAAUCAGAAGGUUGAAAAUGAUGCCAUUGUUGCAUUAACACUAAGAAAAUGUUUUGUUCUAUUCUUACUGCUUAACAGCAUUACUAGUUUAGUUUUGAGCUCAGAUUUAGUUUGAUAUUAUGCUCUUUAACUAUACGCGAUAGAUUGUUUGUGGUUGCUAUCCAGGCUUCUUAGUUGUAACUGUUGAGGAAAUAUCUAUUUUUGUAGAGCAUGAAAUCUAAUAUGGCAACGAGUAUUGUCAUCAACUGCCUAAUUUGUAAAGGUGCUUCAAUUUCCUAGCAGUGUUUCAUUUCUUGGUGACUUUGAAGUUUAUCUGGGUAACUUUCUUUUACUCUGAUAUCAUGAUCCAUGAAUCUGCACUGCACGAGAAGUACAUUUUGUUACUUUUACUCGUGCUCACUACUUGCAAAAGAGUCUUGAUGCUUUGGAACAAAAUCAGGUAUAAAUGCAAGUGGUAGCUAAAUUUCAUCUUCUCCACCCACAAAUACAAUGAUAGGAUCAGGCCACGGCCAAGCACAUAUCUUGAUGAUUGCCUUUAAUGUCUAGCUUAUAAUGUACCAGGGACUGUACAAACAGAAUGGAUUAUUUAGUGCAUCUUGCAAGUGUUAUAUUCCCCCAUUCAUAACCAUGGAAGUUCCAUGUGUCUGUGCUUCUGUCUAAAGAUUGGUGAAUAAGAAUAAGCCUUUCAACCGGGUUCUACAUAUCCUAGCUGCCCCUGUCAAGAGCUGUUGCAAUAUCUGGAAAAGAGCCUGACCGUUUAUCUGUUCUUUCAUCAGAGAACAAUCAGUUCGAGGAUGUUUUCAUUGCAAGGCCAGAAGACUUCACAUUGCCCUCAUGAUGCAUACGCUUUUGCUUCUGUAUUAUCUUAUGAUGCCUGUAAGGUCUUGUUUCUUUUACUUUGUGACCGUGUAGGUUACUGGAUUUGUGCAGACUGUUGUUAAGGAUGUUGGGCAACGAUUAUGCAUUGCAUUAAGUCGAUUUGACUGCCUUA